CUGCCGCUUGCAGAUGGGCCCGCGGCGCAUUAGCUAGUUGGUGAGGUAACGGCUCACCAAGGCGACGAUGCGUAGCCGACCUGAGAGGGUGAUCGGCCACACUGGGACUGAGACACGGCCCAGACUCCUACGGGAGGCAGCAGUAGGGAAUCUUCCGCAAUGGACGAAAGUCUGACGGAGCAACGCCGCGUGAGCGAAGAAGGUCUUCGGAUCGUAAAGCUCUGUUGUCAGGGAAGAACAAGUACCGUUCGAACAGGGCGGUACCUUGACGGUACCUGACCAGAAAGCCACGGCUAACUACGUGCCAGCAGCCGCGGUAAUACGUAGGUGGCAAGCGUUGUCCGGAAUUAUUGGGCGUAAAGCGCGCGCAGGCGGUCUCUUAAGUCUGAUGUGAAAGCCCACGGCUCAACCGUGGAGGGUCAUUGGAAACUGGGAGACUUGAGUGCAGAAGAGGAGAGCGGAAUUCCACGUGUAGCGGUGAAAUGCGUAGAGAUGUGGAGGAACACCAGUGGCGAAGGCGGCUCUCUGGUCUGUAACUGACGCUGAGGCGCGAAAGCGUGGGGAGCGAACAGGAUUAGAUACCCUGGUAGUCCACGCCGUAAACGAUGAGUGCUAAGUGUUAGAGGGCUUCCACCCUU
This 638-nucleotide ribosomal RNA is filed under the name bacterium Sko06. Its description in RNAcentral is "SSU rRNA". It matches the Rfam family "Bacterial small subunit ribosomal RNA", at positions 212 to 840 of the family's 1533-position model. Lineage: Bacteria; Bacillati; Bacillota; Bacilli; Caryophanales. The record is from RNAcentral.